This is a non-coding RNA of Populus trichocarpa (black cottonwood), 107 nucleotides long. Lineage: Eukaryota; Viridiplantae; Streptophyta; Magnoliopsida; Malpighiales; Salicaceae. The record is from Rfam.
AGUUCAUGAUGAUGACACUUUUGUAAUAAAUCUUUGUAUCUCUCAUAUGCUUCAUGCAAAUAUUCAUUCUCAAAUUGAGUAAACAUAGUAAUAUCAUUCCUUAGCUU